RNAcentral lists this ribosomal RNA (261 nucleotides) under uncultured bacterium. RNAcentral describes it as "partial small subunit ribosomal RNA". It matches the Rfam family "Bacterial small subunit ribosomal RNA", at positions 26 to 285 of the family's 1533-position model. The record is from RNAcentral.
AGAAUCAACGCUGGCGGCGUGCCUAACACAUGCAAGUCGAACGAGAAAGUGGAGCAAUCCAUGAGUAAAGUGGCGACCGGGUGAGUAACACGUGACCAAUCUACCCUUGAGUGGGGGAUAACCUCGGGAAACCGGGGCUAAUACCGCAUAAUAUCCUUGGAACGGAAGUACUGGGGAUCAAAGGAGCAAUUCGCUUAAGGAGGAGGUCGCGGCUGAUUAGCUAGUUGGCGGGGUAAUGGCCCACCAAGGCUUAGAUCGGUA